GGUGGGAGGGGGAAAAGGGUUAAUUGCGUUAGAUUACCAGGGCGGCUAGAGCCCGGCCCCACCUGUGAUGUCCCAGCAUGCCUCACAUGUGUGGUCAGGGAAGCGCGACAGGACGCUUGGGCCUUCAUGAAUGGGGACUGGUUAGAGCCCAGGAACUCCGAACUGGGGACGAAGAGAGAAGACACCUAGGGCCCUACAUGGAAGCACCAGAGCCGCAAACCCAGCACCCGAUUCAGGAAUUAAGGAACUGGCUCCCGAAUCGGGGCUAAAAAGCCCAGAUGCCCGCACAGGGCUGGGCCAAGACAACAAAUACCAGCAUGCCUCGCGCUCCAAGAAUUUGGGAAACCCGGAGGCUUUGGCUUGGAGCGGGAGCUGGACUACACUCCCGGCAUGGCCUGGGACAUGAAUAAAACAGGCGGAGGGGGUGGUGCGUCCUGGGACACAGACGGGACAAGCUGGUGCGGCGGGAGGAGGGUCUGAAACUACAGGUCCCCGCACGUCCUGGGACACAGACGGGACAGGCUGGUGCGGCGGGAGGAGGGUCUGAAACUACAGGUCCCCGCACGCCCUGGGACACAGACGGGACAAGAAGGAGAGUCUGAAACUACAGGUCCCCGUAUGCCCUGGGACACAGACGGGACAAGAAGGAGAGUCUGAAACUACAGGUAACAUUUAUGGAGCACUUAUGUGUUAGGCCUUGAUAGUUCCUCUUUAUCAUCUCACCCACUCUGCCUCCACUUUACAGAAGAGAAGACAGGCGUAUUUGACUUGCUCAGGGUCACACAGUUUUGAGGGCCUGAAGCUGGAAGUCCCUAGAAGUUUGGUGGAAUCCAGAGUCCAGCAACGAUCCCUUGAGCUAUGCAUCUCUUCCCACACUUCCACUCUGACUAGCCCUUACUCCCAGUGGCUGUAUAAAAGGUCGAAUAAAAUAAAACAGAGUUUGAAAGUGC
This is a non-coding RNA of Microcebus murinus (gray mouse lemur), 950 nucleotides long. The record is from RefSeq and is a predicted model, not a curated record. Lineage: Eukaryota; Metazoa; Chordata; Mammalia; Primates; Cheirogaleidae.